GACGAACGCUGGCGGCGUGCUUAACACAUGCAAGUCGAACGGAAAGGCCCUGCUUUUGUGGGGUGCUCGAGUGGCGAACGGGUGAGUAACACGUGAGUAACCUGCCCUUGACUUUGGGAUAACUUCAGGAAACUGGGGCUAAUACCGGAUAGGAGCUCCUGCUGCAUGGUGGGGGUUGGAAAGUUUCGGCGGUUGGGGAUGGACUCGCGGCUUAUCAGCCUGUUGGUGGGGUAGUGGCUUACCAAGGCUUUGACGGGUAGCUGGCCUGAGAGGGUGACCGGCCACAUUGGGACUGAGAUACGGCCCAGACUCCUACGGGAGGCAGCAGUGGGGAAUAUUGCACAAUGGGCGGAAGCCUGAUGCAGCAACGCCGCGUGCGGGAUGACGGCCUUCGGGUUGUAAACCGCUUUCGCCUGUGACGAAGCGUGAGUGACGGUAAUGGGUAAAGAAGCACCGGCUAACUACGUG
RNAcentral lists this ribosomal RNA (468 nucleotides) under uncultured bacterium. RNAcentral describes it as "partial 16S ribosomal RNA". It matches the Rfam family "Bacterial small subunit ribosomal RNA", at positions 28 to 507 of the family's 1533-position model. The record is from RNAcentral.